AUACUUAGUCAACAUCGUUAAGUGGGCCUAACAGCAGCCACCUUUCAAAAAGCGUCAAAGCUUAACCACAUUACCUUAAUCUAAAAAUCCCCAUUGACCCCUUUAACUGUAUUGAGAGCUUCUAUAAUCUUAUAGAACCCCUUAUGCUAAAACUAAUAACAAGAGAAAACCUCUCUCCUAAAUGCAAACACAAGCCAGCAAGAACCCAUCACUGGCAUCUAACGGACCCACCAGGUAGUAACCCCACUAGAAAACCCUAUCUCCCCCCCCCGUUAACCUAACACCAGAGCAUUUCAAGAAAGAUUAAAAGAAAAAAAAGGAACUCGGCAAACUUAAGCCCCGCCUGUUUACCAAAAACAUCGCCUCCCGGCCCCAUGGGAGGUCCAGCCUGCCCAGUGACCCUGUUCAACGGCCGCGGUAUUCUAACCGUGCAAAGGUAGCGUAA
This 445-nucleotide ribosomal RNA is filed under the name Pristimantis sp. QCAZ58969. RNAcentral describes it as "partial large subunit ribosomal RNA". Lineage: Eukaryota; Metazoa; Chordata; Amphibia; Anura; Strabomantidae. The record is from RNAcentral.